ACAGUGGACGCGAGCAUCUGUGGCCAAGUUUUUAAGGGCGCACGGUGGAUGCCUUGGCACCA
RNAcentral lists this ribosomal RNA (62 nucleotides) under Streptomyces sp. NRRL B-1140. RNAcentral describes it as "partial 23S ribosomal RNA". RNAcentral also lists the same sequence under 1 other name. The record is from RNAcentral. Lineage: Bacteria; Bacillati; Actinomycetota; Actinomycetes; Kitasatosporales; Streptomycetaceae.